Hippopotamus amphibius kiboko is the source of this 107-nucleotide small nuclear RNA. NCBI's taxonomy places the organism in Eukaryota, Metazoa, Chordata, Mammalia, Artiodactyla, Hippopotamidae. The record is from RefSeq and is a predicted model, not a curated record.
AUGCUCACUUUGGCAGCACAUAUGCUAAAAUUGAAACAAUACCUAGAAGAUUAGCAUGGCCUCUGCACAAGGAUGACAUGCUAAUUCAUGAAGCACUCCAUAUUUUU